Molecule: unclassified non-coding RNA, 458 nt
Filed under: Homo sapiens (human)
Lineage: Eukaryota; Metazoa; Chordata; Mammalia; Primates; Hominidae
Description: psoriasis susceptibility 1 candidate 1 (ENSG00000206458.10)
Source: RNAcentral
GGUGUCCCAGAAACCCAGGAAAUCGAGACUCAUGACUCCCAGAGAGGAUGGCAUCUAGAAGGCAUGCAGGGGACCUCCAAGCAAUGAUAUCCAAGGAAUUCCAUCUGGCAGCCACCCAGGAUGACUGCAGAAAAGGAAGGACACAGGAGGAUAUCCUGGUUCCCUCUUCCCACCCAGAGCUGUUUGCAUCAGUCCUGCCAAUGGCUCCGGAAGAAGCUGCCAGGCUCCAGCAACCUCAGCCCCUUCCUCCUCCCUCAGGAAUCCACCUAUCCGCCUCUAGGACCUUGGCUCUAACUCUAUUGUACUCGUCUCCUCCCUCCCAUUCUCCUUUUGGUCUCAGCUCCUUGAUCUAAGCCUCCCAGAGAGACCCUAGAACGUUUCCCUCAAGGACCUUUCUGCCUGGAAGUCUGUUAGCCUUUCAGAAGUAACAUGUCCAAAAUAAAAUUUGAUUCCUCCCA